UCUAUAUAGGCGGUUAGCGCAUUAGAUUUAGGGUUUAAAUAGGGUAUUGUACACCAUAUAGUA
This 63-nucleotide transfer RNA is filed under the name Onisimus nanseni. Its description in RNAcentral is "tRNA-Leu". Lineage: Eukaryota; Metazoa; Arthropoda; Malacostraca; Amphipoda; Lysianassidae. The record is from RNAcentral.